GCGCUGCUGGUCUAGUUGGCUAUGAUUCUACCUUAGGGUGGUAGAGGUCGGGAGUUCGAGUCUCCCGUAGCGUC
Ectocarpus siliculosus is the source of this 74-nucleotide transfer RNA. It matches the Rfam family "tRNA". Rfam says of the family: Transfer RNA (tRNA) molecules are approximately 80 nucleotides in length. Their secondary structure includes four short double-helical elements and three loops (D, anti-codon, and T loops). Lineage: Eukaryota; Phaeophyceae; Ectocarpales; Ectocarpaceae. The record is from Rfam.